Mycena crocata is the source of this 98-nucleotide non-coding RNA. The record is from the annotation of a GenBank genome assembly. Lineage: Eukaryota; Fungi; Basidiomycota; Agaricomycetes; Agaricales; Mycenaceae.
GGCCUGGUGGUGUAUUCAUAACACGUCUUCUUAUCAUAAUUGUUUCUCAGCGGCAAAAAAUUGAGGAGAUGAACCCCGUUCGAUUCGGGGCUGGGUCA